Mya arenaria is the source of this 2921-nucleotide long non-coding RNA. RefSeq lists it as uncharacterized. NCBI's taxonomy places the organism in Eukaryota, Metazoa, Mollusca, Bivalvia, Myida, Myidae. The record is from RefSeq and is a predicted model, not a curated record. The transcript has 8 exons.
GUCAUGUGCUAUUUUUUAACCCAAAUCUGAGGAAGUAGGUCGAACUGAACCAAAGGCAUUUACAUCAAAUUUGGAAUUUGUAGGUCAAGCACCUGCUGUACAUAGAACAACAAUUCAUUACAGCUUUGACUAUGCUGAGCAGGUCUUCUACCCAUACAAGGCACAUCAAGAGGGCACUGCUUUGAAGUGUUCUGUAAAUCAUAUGGUUCACAGAUAUUUAUCUCAGUGAUAAGGGUUUAGCUGUUAUGUGGUCAAUGGUGUGGUACCUCAUUUUCAACAUCAUCCAUAUGGAGAAGAAUCUGCAUAACUGUGUUGGGCGGAAUAAAAACAAUGCAGUCAUUAAGGUCUGAUGUAUUCUGAAGGGGCUACAUAGAGAAAUAGUAUUUACUUAAAUGGGAGCGGGUGACAUAAAGUUCUGUCCAGUCUGAGAUUUUGUCUGUAGAAGACCAAAUGGAGGCAGCACACAUCCUUUGUUGAUUGAUGACCUUGGCAAACUGGUUAUAUUCUUUGACUGGUUGGAGUACACCAAGAGACCCCUGAAGUCCAUUCCAAACUUGAGGAAAUAUCAUCACUUCAGAACUUUCGCUGACAACCCAGUGAGUGAAUUCAUGAGAGAGCAUGCCAAGGACAGUGAGAUUGAAGUUAAAAUUGACAAGCCCACAACAAUGGCUUUUCCAUGGAGAUUACCAUGAACGCAUCCAACUAAAAGGACUUGAUGCAAACAGGCUCUGAUCUCUUAAGUGAAAAAACUUUUCAAUAUACUGAUAUGUGAUCUUCAUAAACUAAAUCUAAGAUUUGAGAAUGAUCCAUUACUGAGCUGAUGAAAACGUGUAUCAAUUUUUUAUUGACAAUUAUUUAUUCAAUAGAAACAUGUUUAUGUGAAAUAAGGCUACCAGUGAUUUCGAGUGAUAAACUGUGGUUUUAGCAAAUGAGUGAUAGAAGGGUGCUGCACCCAGUCUUUUGUUGGUAGAACUCUUCUGCCAUAAUGGAGACCACUAUAUGAUUAUUAAUUAUUAAUACAAACUUAAAAAAAUCUGGCAGUUUAAGCCUAUAAAUGCUUGAAUUGAAGACAUUUAUAAUAUUGUUUGUCAAAAUUAGUUACUUCACAGCCUGAUAAAAUGUAUCUGAGCAACCUUUUUAUACACAUUUAAAGACAAAAACUGGUUUUGCUUCUCAAAUUGACUUAUUUGAUUCAAUGACAUUGGAAACAGCAAAUCUUUUGUGUUUAAUUCAUUUUAAUGGUUCAUAAUUACUCACCAGAGGAGAAUCCAAAGGAUAAAGGGAUGCUAAACAACACCAUAUAAAACACUUUUGGUGAAGAUUUCUUAUGUUUAGUAAACUUCGAUUGUGAAUAAGAGGCUUUGGUAACUCAACAAAACUAGACCCUGACACUUGUGAAUAGUUCACAGUGUGCACAGUUAUAUUUAAUACUUUUUUGAGAACCCACUCAGAGCUUUCUCUUAUGUACUUUUUAGAACUUUCAAACAUUUUUUGAAAUGCUUCAUGUAAAUUAUCUUCAUCAAAUGUUAUUAAAUUUAAACUUCUAUAAGUCCUUGAUCUAAAAUGUGGAGUUGAUGUGCUGCCUCCAUCUUCAACUAACUCGACCUGCACUGAUAAAUACCAUUUAAUAGGAUAAAAUUGAAGUCUUGUUUCUGAAAUGUUUUGAAUGUUUUUAUUUGCAUUAGCAAAAACUGCCAACAGAUCAUAUUGUUCUUAAAUGGUUUUCCACAAGUAUUACACCCAAAUCCAUUUUUAACCUUUUUAUCUCUGAUAUUCCUCAUAUUCAUGUGCAUAUUUUGAAGUAAGGUAAUCACUAAAACUUUGAUACUUCAUGUGGCCAUGCUUUUUCAAAAACAAUAUUUGAUCGUUUUACAAACUUUAUUUUCAUUGGAUUAUGCAUUGAUGACUGUUCCAAUUUUUCUUGAUGUAAAUGUUUAUUAUUCUCACUUCUUUAAAAUUCCUUCAUCAUAUGCUCAUAUUUUGAUUUUGGAAUCAACACUAGUUCUUGAGCCAUGACUCACAAGGUUGUAUUAUUAAAAUGAAUUGCUUAAAAUAUUUAAUGAGGAAAGCUUUUCUCUUCUUUUGUGAUAGUCCUUUUACUACAAACUUACGAAUGACAUUCCUAUAUCUUAUCAACGACAUUUUGAUAUUGGCUGAUAUUUUCAGGUUUUCCAUGAGAGUAUUGUUAACCACUUCCACAAUUACACAUGAGAUGUUGUUAAUGUUUUCAUCAACAUUUUUUGUCACACUCGUGUUUAAAAGAAAUUUUAAAAAUACUUUUCCUUUUCCAUUUUUUCACUCAUGUUUUUCUUUUUCAGAUCGAAAAACAGUCAGCGUCUGAGAUGGAAAUAUGUUGGUGCGCUAGUUUUACAAUUUGUUUGAAUGUGGACUUUCAUCAACUAUUAACAGCGAGGCUGGGAUUGGCACUCUACUCUAUCGAAUGGAUAUUUAGCUGUGCUGUUUUUCAACAACUCAGCGUGGGUAACGAUGAGAGCUGGAUUUACUCUCACCUUUUUUGCUAAUUUUUGUUGAACCAGUCUCCCAGAAACUCGCAACAGGCCAUUUUAGUGAAACUCACUAAAUUAGAAGAGCAAGGAUCAGUAAACCCCGAAACCUUAUGCGUCCACGAAAUACUGUAAAUAAUAGCAUUUACUGUUGAUGCUGACGGUGAAGAGCCCUUCAUGGAUGACAGAAAAAGCGCUACAUGAUAAUCGGAAGCUGGAAGCGGUUGAAAUUCAUAAUUUGUACACCAUAUGCAUAACGAUUUAAAUUAACAGUUGUAUUGUUUGAAAGUGUUGUCCGAUUUCGAAAGUUUCACUAGCGUUUGCAUUUUAUCAUGAUGUGUUUUAAGAUCAUCGGGCAGAGAUUCUUUGUGAAAAUUCCUCCAUAAUCCAACCUUGAAUGCAUCUGUCAAAUGUGCA